This 447-nucleotide ribosomal RNA is filed under the name uncultured Hyphomicrobiales bacterium. RNAcentral describes it as "bacterial SSU rRNA". It matches the Rfam family "Bacterial small subunit ribosomal RNA", at positions 29 to 523 of the family's 1533-position model. The record is from RNAcentral. Lineage: Bacteria; Pseudomonadati; Pseudomonadota; Alphaproteobacteria; Hyphomicrobiales.
AACGAACGCUGGCGGCAGGCUUAACACAUGCAAGUCGAGCGCCCCGCAAGGGGAGCGGCAGACGGGUGAGUAACGCGUGGGAAUCUACCCAUCUCUACGGAAUAACGCAUGGAAACGUGUGCUAAUACCGUAUACGUCCUUCGGGAGAAAGAUUUAUCGGAGAUGGAUGAGCCCGCGUUGGAUUAGCUAGUUGGUGGGGUAAAGGCCUACCAAGGCGACGAUCCAUAGCUGGUCUGAGAGGAUGAUCAGCCACACUGGGACUGAGACACGGCCCAGACUCCUACGGGAGGCAGCAGUGGGGAAUAUUGGACAAUGGGCGCAAGCCUGAUCCAGCCAUGCCGCGUGAGUGAUGAAGGCCCUAGGGUUGUAAAGCUCUUUCACCGGUGAAGAUAAUGACGGUAACCGGAGAAGAAGCCCCGGCUAACUUCGUGCCAGCCGCCGCGGUAA